RNAcentral lists this long non-coding RNA (296 nucleotides) under Brassica napus (rape). Its description in RNAcentral is "long non-coding RNA (BNAP_LNC024060)". Lineage: Eukaryota; Viridiplantae; Streptophyta; Magnoliopsida; Brassicales; Brassicaceae. The record is from RNAcentral.
GAAUGGUCACAACAUUAUGAUAAAUAUUAAGACAAAUAUAUUAGACGGUAUGAAUACUCAGUUCAUGAUCAAUUGGCUUCUCAAUUAUUUGAUUCCCAAUGUCGUUUACAUUCAUUUGCGUUGGUAUAAGAAUGAUACAAUAAAUAUAUGAAAAUACCAAUAUUGGUAGUUAGUUCUAAGAUCACAUCCUACUUUAUUUCCUUUUAAAUGAGUAUACAAAUGAUAUGUAAAGACCUUAGAAAAUAAAAAUAUAUGUAAAUAUAAAGCUGCCAAAAUCAUAAUUAAAAGCAUGGUCA